ACGAACGCUGGCGGCGUGCUUAACACAUGCAAGUCGAACGGAAAGGCCUGCUUUCCCUUGUGGAUUGCGGGUACUCGAGUGGCGAACGGGUGAGUAACACGUGAGUGAUCUGCCCCCAACUUGGGUAUAAGCCUGGGAAACUGGGUCUAAUUCCCGAUAGGACUGCAGGGUGGUGCCUGUGGUGGAAAACGAUUUUCUAGUGGUUGGGGAUGAGCUCGCGGCCUAUCAGCUUGUUGGUGGGGUAAUGGCCUACCAAGGCGGCGACGGGUAGCCGGCCUGAGAGGGUGGACGGCCACAUUGGGACUGAGAUACGGCCCAGACUCCUACGGGAGGCAGCAGUGGGGAAUAUUGCACAAUGGGCGGAAGCCUGAUGCAGCGACGCCGCGUGGGGGAUGACGGCCUUCGGGUUGUAAACUCCUUUCGACCGCGAGGAAGCCACCUGGUUGGAAGGGUGGUGACGGUAGUGGUAGAAGAGGCACCGGCUAACUACGU
Molecule: ribosomal RNA, 492 nt
Filed under: uncultured bacterium
Lineage: Bacteria
Description: partial 16S ribosomal RNA
Rfam family: Bacterial small subunit ribosomal RNA
Source: RNAcentral